This 253-nucleotide ribosomal RNA is filed under the name uncultured bacterium. RNAcentral's name for it is "partial 16S ribosomal RNA". It matches the Rfam family "Bacterial small subunit ribosomal RNA", at positions 524 to 776 of the family's 1533-position model. The record is from RNAcentral.
UACAGAGGGUGCGAGCGUUAAUCGGAAUUACUGGGCGUAAAGCGUGCGUAGACGGUCAUGUAAGUCGGAUGUGAAAGCCCCGGGCUCAACCUGGGAAUUGCAUUCGAGACUGCAUGGCUUGGGUGCGGAAGAGGGAAGCGGAAUUUCCGGUGUAGCGGUGAAAUGCGUAGAUAUCGGAAGGAACACCAGUGGCGAGAGCGGCUUCCUGGUCCAGCACCGACGUUCAGGCACGAAAGCGUGGGGAGCAAACAGG